This 383-nucleotide transfer-messenger RNA is filed under the name Bacteroidales. Its description in RNAcentral is "Pullibacteroides sp944321735 Standard tmRNA". It matches the Rfam family "transfer-messenger RNA". Rfam says of the family: Bacterial tmRNA, also known as 10Sa RNA or SsrA, is named for its dual tRNA and mRNA-like properties. Lineage: Bacteria; Pseudomonadati; Bacteroidota; Bacteroidia. RNAcentral also lists the same sequence under 1 other name. The record is from RNAcentral.
GGGGCCGACUGGUUUUGACAGCAGGGAUAGUGGGAGAGCAAGCACGCCGAGGGUCGUGUAUUUACCUCGUUAAUAUCAGUGCUCACGCCAUUAAACGGCAACAAUAGCGAUUACGCUCUCGCUGCCUAGUACAAGGUACUAAUUUCAGCGACGCUUCCGGAAAAAGCCUUGAUUGACGGCUCGUUUCCCUUGAAGUGCAAAACAAUCAAAGUCAGUCCUGGUGCAGGUUCGCCUUCGGCCUGUAGCAGUACAAAGGAGGAUAAGGCCUAUGGUUGGAAGGUUUUUCGCCUGCCCGGGCUCGAAAACGAAAGGAAAAACUAAGCGUGUAGAAAACUUUUUUGCUACUUGUUUGGACGGCGGUUCGAUUCCGCCCGGUUCCACAA